Ochotona curzoniae (black-lipped pika) is the source of this 109-nucleotide small nuclear RNA. The record is from RefSeq and is a predicted model, not a curated record. Lineage: Eukaryota; Metazoa; Chordata; Mammalia; Lagomorpha; Ochotonidae.
GUGCUCGCUUCGGCAGCACAUACACUAAAAUUGGAACAAUACAGAGAAGAUUGGCGUGGCCCCUGCGCAAGGAUGACAUAUAAAUAAUAGUAAGAGGGGAAAGGGACUC